UGGGUUGUGGCUCAGUGGUGGAGCACUUGCCUAGCAUGUGCGAGGCACUGGGUUCAAUCCCCAGCACUACAU
Molecule: transfer RNA, 72 nt
Filed under: Ictidomys tridecemlineatus (thirteen-lined ground squirrel)
Lineage: Eukaryota; Metazoa; Chordata; Mammalia; Rodentia; Sciuridae
Description: Spermophilus tridecemlineatus (thirteen-lined ground squirrel) tRNA
Rfam family: tRNA
About the family: Transfer RNA (tRNA) molecules are approximately 80 nucleotides in length. Their secondary structure includes four short double-helical elements and three loops (D, anti-codon, and T loops).
Source: Rfam by way of RNAcentral